This 496-nucleotide ribosomal RNA is filed under the name uncultured bacterium. RNAcentral describes it as "partial 16S ribosomal RNA". It matches the Rfam family "Bacterial small subunit ribosomal RNA", at positions 28 to 507 of the family's 1533-position model. The record is from RNAcentral.
GAUGAACGCUGGCGGCGUGCCUAAUACAUGCAAGUCGAGCGAACAGACGAGGAGCUUGCUCCUCUGACGUUAGCGGCGGACGGGUGAGUAACACGUGGAUAACCUACCUAUAAGACUGGGAUAACUUCGGGAAACCGGAGCUAAUACCGGAUAAUAUAUUGAACCGCAUGGUUCAAUAGUGAAAGACGGUUUUGCUGUCACUUAUAGAUGGAUCCGCGCCGCAUUAGCUAGUUGGUAAGGUAACGGCUUACCAAGGCAACGAUGCGUAGCCGACCUGAGAGGGUGAUCGGCCACACUGGAACUGAGACACGGUCCAGACUCCUACGGGAGGCAGCAGUAGGGAAUCUGCCGCAAUGGGCGAAAGCCUGACGGAGCAACGCCGCGUGAGUGAUGAAGGUCUGCGGAUCGUAAAACUCUGUUAUUAGGGAAGAACAAAUGUGUAAGUACUAUGCACGUCUUGACGGUACCUAAUCAGAAAGCCACGGCUAACUACGUG